UUUAUUUCUCUUAUGGGUAUUUGGGGACUGCAGGGAAAGACAUUUAUAAUAAAAUCUGUAGUUUUUGAGUGCACCAGUAUACUACCAUGUAUAAGUUGUAAAGUUUCAAGAGUUUAGUUUUGUCAGUGUUUGUCUUAAGAUGAGGGAACUCUUAAAAGAGAUGUCACAGGAAGAUGAACAGCAAAAUCAGUUGUUUAUUCUUGUGGCAAAAAUAACAUCCUGCAAUACAAGUUUACCAUUACGUUCUUGCAUUUUAAUUAGGUACUUAGAGUUUUUUCUGCAGAAGAAAGAGAUAGGUAAGGAUAAGUGUUAACAUUGUGCUACAAAGGAUUUGGUAGUAACUUGUGAACUACUGUCCUUAUUGUACUUUAUGUCUUUCUUAACUACAAACUGUGAAGAUCCACAUGAAAACAGCUGACAAAAAUGUUUCAGAACGCUUUCUUCUCCUCCUUCAAGAAUUCAGUAAGCCAGAACUUUGGAUAUAGGAUUCCUUGGCUCUGGAAGAGGAGAAUGCUGUUGUAUUAAUUUUAACAUUAAAGGCGAAGUGCUGUUAAAGUCAUGUUUAUGCUUAUCAGAAUAAGCAAAGAGCAUACCUCAGCUCUUAGAAAUUUUUCCAUCUCCCUCUUUUAUGAUCAGUUACUAGAGCUUAAUUUAUAACCUAUAGCUGUCUUCCAGUUGAGCUAUGAUCCUCAAAAAAGAAUUUGUAAACACUUUUUUUUCAAGAUAGGCCAGGAAACAUUUUUCACUGAUACUUGAGCUAAAACUUCCUUACUGCAUGAGCUUGGAUACAAGGUUUAUUAGCUAGCAGUUGACUGUCUGCAGAUAGCCUUUAUUCCUAUCAUUUUUACUUUUUUAUUUUUUAACGUUUGCAUGUAAAUGUUUGCCUCAUCUUUU
This is a long non-coding RNA of Oxyura jamaicensis (ruddy duck), 894 nucleotides long. RefSeq lists it as uncharacterized. Lineage: Eukaryota; Metazoa; Chordata; Aves; Anseriformes; Anatidae. The record is from RefSeq and is a predicted model, not a curated record. The transcript is spliced from 2 exons.